This 468-nucleotide ribosomal RNA is filed under the name uncultured bacterium. RNAcentral's name for it is "partial 16S ribosomal RNA". It matches the Rfam family "Bacterial small subunit ribosomal RNA", at positions 28 to 507 of the family's 1533-position model. The record is from RNAcentral.
GACGAACGCUGGCGGCGUGCUUAACACAUGCAAGUCGAACGGAAGGGCCCUGCUUUUGUGGGGUGCUCGAGUGGCGAACGGGUGAGUAACACGUGAGUAACCUGCCCUUGACUUUGGGAUAACUUCAGGAAACUGGGGCUAAUACCGGAUAGGAGCUCCUGCUGCAUGGUGGGGGUUGGAAAGUUUCGGCGGUUGGGGAUGGACUCGCGGCUUAUCAGCUUGUUGGUGGGGUAGUGGCUUACCCAGGCUUUGACGGGUAGCCGGCCUGAGAGGGUGACCGGCGACAUUGGGACUGAGGUACGGCCCAGACUCCUACGGGGGGCAGAAGUGGGGAGUAUUGCACAAUGGGCGGAAGCCUAAUGCAGCAACGCCGCGUGCGGGAUGACGGCCUUCGGGUUGUAAACCGCUUUCGCCUGUGACGAAGCGUGAGUGACGGUAAUGGGUAAAGAAGCACCGGCUAACUACGUG